GUGUCAGCAGCCGCGGUAAUACCGGCAGCCCGAGUGAUGGCCGAUCUUAUUGGGCCUAAAGCGUCCGUAGCUGGCUGAACAAGUCCGUUGGGAAAUCUGUCCGCUUAACGGGCAGGCGUCCAGCGGAAACUGUUCAGCUUGGGACCGGAAGACCUGAGGGGUACGUCUGGGGUAGGAGUGAAAUCCUGUAAUCCUGGACGGACCGCCGGUGGCGAAAGCGCCUCAGGAGAACGGAUCCGACAGUGAGGGACGAAAGCUAGGGUCUCCAACCGGAUUAGAAACCCCCGUAGUCC
RNAcentral lists this ribosomal RNA (293 nucleotides) under uncultured prokaryote. RNAcentral describes it as "partial 16S ribosomal RNA". It matches the Rfam family "Archaeal small subunit ribosomal RNA", at positions 455 to 747 of the family's 1478-position model. The record is from RNAcentral.